This 1350-nucleotide ribosomal RNA is filed under the name Pediococcus pentosaceus. Its description in RNAcentral is "16S ribosomal RNA". It matches the Rfam family "Bacterial small subunit ribosomal RNA", at positions 93 to 1431 of the family's 1533-position model. The record is from RNAcentral. Lineage: Bacteria; Bacillati; Bacillota; Bacilli; Lactobacillales; Lactobacillaceae.
GAGUGGCGAACGGGUGAGUAACACGUGGGUAACCUGCCCAGAAGUAGGGGAUAACACCUGGAAACAGAUGCUAAUACCGUAUAACAGAGAAAACCGCAUGGUUUUCUUUUAAAAGAUGGCUCUGCUAUCACUUCUGGAUGGACCCGCGGCGUAUUAGCUAGUUGGUGAGGUAAAGGCUCACCAAGGCAGUGAUACGUAGCCGACCUGAGAGGGUAAUCGGCCACAUUGGGACUGAGACACGGCCCAGACUCCUACGGGAGGCAGCAGUAGGGAAUCUUCCACAAUGGACGCAAGUCUGAUGGAGCAACGCCGCGUGAGUGAAGAAGGAUUUCGGCUCGUAAAGCUCUGUUGUUAAAGAAGAACGUGGGUAAGAGUAACUGUUUACCCAGUGACGGUAUUUAACCAGAAAGCCACGGCUAACUACGUGCCAGCAGCCGCGGUAAUACGUAGGUGGCAAGCGUUAUCCGGAUUUAUUGGGCGUAAAGCGAGCGCAGGCGGUCUUUUAAGUCUAAUGUGAAAGCCUUCGGCUCAACCGAAGAAGUGCAUUGGAAACUGGGAGACUUGAGUGCAGAAGAGGACAGUGGAACUCCAUGUGUAGCGGUGAAAUGCGUAGAUAUAUGGAAGAACACCAGUGGCGAAGGCGGCUGUCUGGUCUGCAACUGACGCUGAGGCUCGAAAGCAUGGGUAGCGAACAGGAUUAGAUACCCUGGUAGUCCAUGCCGUAAACGAUGAUUACUAAGUGUUGGAGGGUUUCCGCCCUUCAGUGCUGCAGCUAACGCAUUAAGUAAUCCGCCUGGGGAGUACGACCGCAAGGUUGAAACUCAAAAGAAUUGACGGGGGCCCGCACAAGCGGUGGAGCAUGUGGUUUAAUUCGAAGCUACGCGAAGAACCUUACCAGGUCUUGACAUCUUCUGACAGUCUAAGAGAUUAGAGGUUCCCUUCGGGGACAGAAUGACAGGUGGUGCAUGGUUGUCGUCAGCUCGUGUCGUGAGAUGUUGGGUUAAGUCCCGCAACGAGCGCAACCCUUAUUACUAGUUGCCAGCAUUAAGUUGGGCACUCUAGUGAGACUGCCGGUGACAAACCGGAGGAAGGUGGGGACGACGUCAAAUCAUCAUGCCCCUUAUGACCUGGGCUACACACGUGCUACAAUGGAUGGUACAACGAGUCGCGAGACCGCGAGGUUAAGCUAAUCUCUUAAAACCAUUCUCAGUUCGGACUGUAGGCUGCAACUCGCCUACACGAAGUCGGAAUCGCUAGUAAUCGCGGAUCAGCAUGCCGCGGUGAAUACGUUCCCGGGCCUUGUACACACCGCCCGUCACACCAUGAGAGUUUGUAACACCCAAAGCCGGU